UACGUAGGGCGCAAGCGUUGUCCGGAAUUACUGGGCGUAAAGGGCUCGUAGGUGGCCAACUAAGUCAGACGUGAAAUCCCUCGGCUUAACCGGGGAACUGCGUCUGAUACUGGAUGGCUUGAGUUCGGGAGAGGGAUGCGGAAUUCCAGGUGUAGCGGUGAAAUGCGUAGAUAUCUGGAGGAACACCGGUGGCGAAGGCGGCAUCCUGGACCGACACUGACGCUGAGGAGCGAAAGCCAGGGGAGCAAACGGG
RNAcentral lists this ribosomal RNA (253 nucleotides) under uncultured bacterium. Its description in RNAcentral is "partial 16S ribosomal RNA". It matches the Rfam family "Bacterial small subunit ribosomal RNA", at positions 524 to 776 of the family's 1533-position model. The record is from RNAcentral.